RNAcentral lists this long non-coding RNA (588 nucleotides) under Salmo salar (Atlantic salmon). RNAcentral's name for it is "lncRNA (ENSSSAG00000118518.1)". Lineage: Eukaryota; Metazoa; Chordata; Actinopteri; Salmoniformes; Salmonidae. The record is from RNAcentral.
GGUAGAUCUGUUGACAUCGCCAUGGCAACUGUAAACGCUCUCCUCUCUCGAAACUACAGUUUCUCAGCUCCCAAUUAAUUUGGUGAAAAAUGUUCUCUCUGUGUUUCUGUGAUGUUGUCGCUACGUCCCCAGGCAGUGUUGGCUGGUUGUCAGUUUUUAUGAGCCGCGAUAAUGAAAGAAAUGGACACGUCAUUGUCCUCUACUUUGGGUUCUGAGAGACUGGAGAAACUACAGCUCAUCGCCCUACACACAACCCAGCUCUGUACAUGCAUGUACACACACACACACGUACAAUCUUAACCUCACCCACGCCCUACCCCCAUCCCUCACCAGAUCUUGUUAUGCAGCCUUCCAUUGAACAUGUCUUGACAAAUCUCCAAUCUACACUACUGAAGCUGAUAUGCAAUGGUUUUGAUUAACAUUCUCUUGAUUUCGACUAACAUUCUCUUGGUUUUGAAUAACAUUCUCUUGGUUUUGAAAAACAUUCUCUUGGUUUUGAAUAACAUUCUCUUGGUUUUGAAUAACAUUCUCUUGGUUUUGAAUAACAUUCUCUUGGUUUUGAAAAACAUUCUCUUGGUUUUGAAUAAC